RNAcentral lists this ribosomal RNA (645 nucleotides) under Hepatozoon canis. RNAcentral describes it as "SSU rRNA". It matches the Rfam family "Eukaryotic small subunit ribosomal RNA", at positions 174 to 812 of the family's 1831-position model. The record is from RNAcentral. Lineage: Eukaryota; Apicomplexa; Hepatozoidae.
AAUCUCAACUUUAUUAGAAGAGACGCAUUUAUUAGAUAAAAAGCCAGUUCAUGCUUUUACAGUAUGAAAAUUGGUGAUUUAUAAUAACUUAGCAAAUCGCAAAGUGAAAACAGGCGAUAAAUCAUUCAAGUUUCUGACCUAUCAGCUUUCGACGGUAUGGUAUUGGCUUACCGUGGCAGUGACGGUUAACGGGGGAUUAGGGUUCGAUUCCGGAGAGGGAGCCUGAGAAACGGCUACCACAUCUAAGGAAGGCAGCAGGCGCGCAAAUUACCCAAUUCUAACAGUUUGAGAGAGGUAGUAACAAGAAAUAACAAUACAAGGCAGUUAAAAUGCUUUGUAAUUGGAAUGAUAGAAAUUUAAACCCUUUUUAAAGUAUCAAUUGGAGGGCAAGUCUGGUGCCAGCAGCCGCGGUAAUUCCAGCUCCAAUAGCGUAUAUUAAAAUUGUUGCAGUUAAAAAGCUCGUAGUUGAAGUUCUGCUGAAAGUAACCGGUCUGCUUUUAAUAAAAGUGGUAUCUUGGUAUGUAUUUAGCAAUGAUGUCCUUUGAAGUGUUUUUUACUUUAUUGUAAUAAAGCAUAUUCAGGACUUUUACUUUGAGAAAAUUAGAGUGUUUCUAGCAGGCUAACGCUUUGAAUACUGCAGCAGAA